RNAcentral lists this transfer RNA (67 nucleotides) under uncultured Pygmaiobacter sp. It matches the Rfam family "tRNA", at positions 5 to 66 of the family's 71-position model. Rfam says of the family: Transfer RNA (tRNA) molecules are approximately 80 nucleotides in length. Their secondary structure includes four short double-helical elements and three loops (D, anti-codon, and T loops). Further hydrogen bonds mediate the characteristic L-shaped molecular structure. tRNAs have two regions of fundamental functional importance: the anti-codon, which is responsible for specific mRNA codon recognition, and the 3' end, to which the tRNAs corresponding amino acid is attached (by aminoacyl-tRNA synthetases). tRNAs cope with the degeneracy of the genetic code in two manners: having more than one tRNA (with a specific anti-codon) for a particular amino acid; and 'wobble' base-pairing, i.e. permitting non-standard base-pairing at the 3rd anti-codon position. The record is from RNAcentral. Lineage: Bacteria; Bacillati; Bacillota; Clostridia; Eubacteriales; Oscillospiraceae.
CCGUAGCUCAGUUGGAUAGAGCGUUCGGCUCCGACCCGGAAGGCCGCAGGUUCGAAUCCUGUCGGGC